CAGUCGCCGCGGUAACACGAAGGGUGCAAGCGUUAAUCGGAAUUACUGGGCGUAAAGCGUGCGUAGGCGGUUUGUUAAGUCUGCUGUGAAAUCCCCGGGCUCAACCUGGGAAUGGCAGUGGAUACUGGCAAGCUAGAGUGUGUCAGAGGAUGGUGGAAUUCCCGGUGUAGCGGUGAAAUGCGUAGAGAUCGGGAGGAACAUCAGUGGCGAAGGCGGCCAUCUGGGACAACACUGACGCUGAGGCACGAAAGCGUGGGGAGCAAACAGGAUUAGAUACCCCCGUAGUCCCUGUCUCUUAUAC
Molecule: ribosomal RNA, 301 nt
Filed under: uncultured bacterium
Lineage: Bacteria
Description: partial 16S ribosomal RNA
Rfam family: Bacterial small subunit ribosomal RNA
Source: RNAcentral